GGGGAAUUUUGGACAAUGGGGGAAACCCUGAUCCAGCCAUCCCGCGUGUGCGAUGAAGGCCUUCGGGUUGUAAAGCACUUUUGGCAGGAAAGAAACGUCGCGGGUUAAUACCCCGCGGAACUGACGGUACCUGCAGAAUAAGCACCGGCUAACUACGUGCCAGCAGCCGCGGUAAUACGUAGGGUGCAAGCGUUAAUCGGAAUUACUGGGCGUAAAGCGUGCGCAGGCGGUUCGGAAAGAAAGAUGUGAAAUCCCAGAGCUUAACUUUGGAACUGCAUUUUUAACUACCGGGCUAGAGUGUGUCAGAGGGAGGUGGAAUUCCGCGUGUAGCAGUGAAAUGCGUAGAUAUGCGGAGGAACACCGAUGGCGAAGGCAGCCUCCUGGGAUAACACUGACGCUCAUGCACGAAAGCGUGGGGAGCACACA
This 426-nucleotide ribosomal RNA is filed under the name uncultured bacterium. RNAcentral describes it as "bacterial SSU rRNA". It matches the Rfam family "Bacterial small subunit ribosomal RNA", at positions 356 to 774 of the family's 1533-position model. The record is from RNAcentral.